CAUCUUACUAACAGUAUUUGA
This 21-nucleotide microRNA is filed under the name Schistosoma mansoni. RNAcentral's name for it is "sma-miR-8-5p". Its record names the gene sma-miR-8-5p. Lineage: Eukaryota; Metazoa; Platyhelminthes; Trematoda; Strigeidida; Schistosomatidae. The record is from miRBase by way of RNAcentral.